Molecule: ribosomal RNA, 123 nt
Organism: Chlorocebus sabaeus (green monkey)
Lineage: Eukaryota; Metazoa; Chordata; Mammalia; Primates; Cercopithecidae
Source: Ensembl
GUCUAGGGCCACUUCACUCUGAAUGCUCUCGAUAUCUUCUGAUCUCGGAAGCUAAGCAGGGUCGGGCCUGGUUAGUCCUUGGAUGGGAGAAGUGUGGCUACUACAUAAUAGGUGCUCAAAAUG